Molecule: ribosomal RNA, 1016 nt
Filed under: Vibrio parahaemolyticus
Lineage: Bacteria; Pseudomonadati; Pseudomonadota; Gammaproteobacteria; Vibrionales; Vibrionaceae
Description: partial 23S ribosomal RNA
Rfam family: Bacterial large subunit ribosomal RNA
Source: RNAcentral
GCCGUAACUAUAACGGUCCUAAGGUAGCGAAAUUCCUUGUCGGGUAAGUUCCGACCUGCACGAAUGGCGUAAUGAUGGCCACGCUGUCUCCACCCGAGACUCAGUGAAAUUGAAAUCGCUGUGAAGAUGCAGUGUACCCGCGGCUAGACGGAAAGACCCCGUGAACCUUUACUACAGCUUGGCACUGAACAUUGACCCUACAUGUGUAGGAUAGGUGGGAGGCUUUGAAGCACGUACGCCAGUAUGUGUGGAGCCGUCCUUGAAAUACCACCCUUGUAGUGUUGAUGUUCUAACGUCGACCCCUAAUCGGGGUUGCGGACAGUGCCUGGUGGGUAGUUUGACUGGGGCGGUCUCCUCCCAAAGAGUAACGGAGGAGCACGAAGGUGGGCUAAUCACGGUUGGACAUCGUGAGGUUAGUGCAAUGGCAUAAGCCCGCUUGACUGCGAGAAUGACAAUUCGAGCAGGUGCGAAAGCAGGUCAUAGUGAUCCGGUGGUUCUGAAUGGAAGGGCCAUCGCUCAACGGAUAAAAGGUACUCCGGGGAUAACAGGCUGAUACCGCCCAAGAGUUCAUAUCGACGGCGGUGUUUGGCACCUCGAUGUCGGCUCAUCACAUCCUGGGGCUGAAGUCGGUCCCAAGGGUAUGGCUGUUCGCCAUUUAAAGUGGUACGCGAGCUGGGUUUAGAACGUCGUGAGACAGUUCGGUCCCUAUCUGCCGUGGGCGUUGGAAGAUUGAAGGGGGCUGCUCCUAGUACGAGAGGACCGGAGUGGACGAACCUCUGGUGUUCGGGUUGUGUCGCCAGACGCAUUGCCCGGUAGCUAAGUUCGGAAUCGAUAACCGCUGAAAGCAUCUAAGCGGGAAGCGAGCCCUGAGAUGAGUCUUCCCUGAUACUUUAAGUAUCCUAAAGGGUUGUCGGAGACUACGACGUUGAUAGGUCAGGUGUGUAAGUGCUGUGAGGCAUUGAGCUAACUGAUACUAAUUGCCCGUGAGGCUUAACCAUACAACACCCAAGGGGUUU